This 76-nucleotide transfer RNA is filed under the name Desulfovibrio sp. RNAcentral's name for it is "tRNA-Glu". It matches the Rfam family "tRNA". Rfam says of the family: Transfer RNA (tRNA) molecules are approximately 80 nucleotides in length. Their secondary structure includes four short double-helical elements and three loops (D, anti-codon, and T loops). Further hydrogen bonds mediate the characteristic L-shaped molecular structure. tRNAs have two regions of fundamental functional importance: the anti-codon, which is responsible for specific mRNA codon recognition, and the 3' end, to which the tRNAs corresponding amino acid is attached (by aminoacyl-tRNA synthetases). tRNAs cope with the degeneracy of the genetic code in two manners: having more than one tRNA (with a specific anti-codon) for a particular amino acid; and 'wobble' base-pairing, i.e. permitting non-standard base-pairing at the 3rd anti-codon position. Lineage: Bacteria; Pseudomonadati; Thermodesulfobacteriota; Desulfovibrionia; Desulfovibrionales; Desulfovibrionaceae. The record is from RNAcentral.
GUCGCCAUCGUCUAUUCGGUCAGGACAGCGGCCUCUCAAGCCGCAAAGACGGGUUCAAGCCCCGUUGGCGACGCCA